Molecule: non-coding RNA, 148 nt
Filed under: Pan troglodytes (chimpanzee)
Lineage: Eukaryota; Metazoa; Chordata; Mammalia; Primates; Hominidae
Source: Rfam by way of RNAcentral
GCCAGGCAUGGUGGCGCAUGCCUGUAAUCCCAGCUACUUGGGAGGCUGAGGUGGGAGAAUCGCUUGAACCUGGGAGCUGGAGAUUGCAGCAAGCCAAGAUUGCACCACUGCACUCCAGCCUAGAUGACAGAGUGAGACUCUGUCUCAA